UAACACGUGGGUAACCUGCCCAUAAGACUGGGAUAACUCCGGGAAACCGGGGCUAAUACCGGAUAACAUUUUGAACCGCAUGGUUCGAAAUUGAAAGGCGGCUUCGGCUGUCACUUAUGGAUGGACCCGCGUCGCAUUAGCUAGUUGGUGAGGUAACGGCUCACCAAGGCAACGAUGCGUAGCCGACCUGAGAGGGUGAUCGGCCACACUGGGACUGAGACACGGCCCAGACUCCUACGGGAGGCAGCAGUAGGGAAUCUUCCGCAAUGGACGAAAGUCUGACGGAGCAACGCCGCGUGAGUGAUGAAGGCUUUCGGGUCGUAAAACUCUGUUGUUAGGGAAGAACAAGUGCUAGUUGAAUAAGCUGGCACCUUGACGGUACCUAACCAGAAAGCCACGGCUAACUACGUGCCAGCAGCCGCGGUAAUACGUAGGUGGCAAGCGUUAUCCGGAAUUAUUGGGCGUAAAGCGCGCGCAGGUGGUUUCUUAAGUCUGAUGUGAAAGCCCACGGCUCAACCGUGGAGGGUCAUUGGAAACUGGGAGACUUGAGUGCAGAAGAGGAAAGUGGAAUUCCAUGUGUAGCGGUGAAAUGCGUAGAGAUAUGGAGGAACACCAGUGGGCGAAGGCGACUUUCUGGUCUGUAACUGACACUGAGGCGCGAAAGCGUGGGAGAGCAAACAGGAUUAGAUACCGCUGGGUAGUCCACGCCGUAAACGAUGGAGUGCUAAGUGUUAGAGGGGUUUCCGGCCCUUUAGUG
RNAcentral lists this ribosomal RNA (757 nucleotides) under Bacillus sp. (in: firmicutes). RNAcentral's name for it is "bacterial SSU rRNA". It matches the Rfam family "Bacterial small subunit ribosomal RNA", at positions 111 to 845 of the family's 1533-position model. Lineage: Bacteria; Bacillati; Bacillota; Bacilli; Caryophanales; Bacillaceae. The record is from RNAcentral.